CAAGGCAUGAGGUAGCCAUGCAGGUAUGGUCGGACCAAGGCAUGAGGUAGCCAUGCAGGUAUGGUAAGACCAAGGCAUGAGGUAGCCAUGCAGGUAUGGUAAGACCAAGGCAUGAGGUAGCCAUGCAGGUAUGUUCAGACCAAGGCAUGAGGUAGCCAUGCAGGUAUGUUCAGACCAAGGCAUGAGGUAGCCAUGCAGGUAUGUUCAGACCAAGGCAUGAGUCAUUUUUUGUGUGUGUUCAAUUAUGGUGUUGUUCAAGGUGAAUUUAUAUUUGUGUUUCUGACAUCUGGGUUCUCUCUGGAUAAUCAUGAUUUUCGUUUUUUAGAAAUGUACUGCCAGGGCCCAAUUAUGGCAAUAUUGGUGUAGAAUAUUAAGGUUCUGUUGAAGACCUUCUUUGGUUGGUGAUAGAAGAACCAAGUCAUCAGAAUAGUCCAACAUGUCUGCUAAUUCAUUGAUAUAAAUGUUGAAAAGGUUUGGACUCAAACUGCAACCUUGUCUCACACCUCGACGUUGUGAAAAUAAUUAUGUUCUUGGUUUUUGUACCUUUUUUUUUUUACUGCACACUUGUUUUCUGUGUACAUUCAUUUUAUUAGGUCAUACACCUUAUCACCAAGCCCACUUUGGAUAAUUUUGAAGAAUAGCUCUUUGUGCCAAAUAUAAUCAGCCUUUUUAAAGUUCAAUAAAGCAAGUAAUUUUUUCAUAUUUACAUUUUUUUUACUCCUUUUUCUCCCAAAUUCUGUGGUAUCCAAUUGGUAGUUACAAUUUUGUCUCAUCGCUGCAACUCCCGUACGGACUCGGGAUUGGCGAAGGUCAAGAACCGUGCGUCCUCUGAAACACAACCCAACCCAACCAAGCCGCACUGCUUCCUGACACAAUGCCCAUCCAACCCGGAAGCCAGCCGCACCAAUGUAUCGGAGGAAACACUGUACACCUGGUGACCGUGUCAGUGUGCCCUGCACCCGGCCCGCCACAGGAGUCGCUAGCGUGCGAUGGGACAAGGACAUCCCUGCCGGCCAAACCCUCCCUUAACCCGGACGAUGCUGGGCCAAUUGUGCGCCGCCCCAUGGGUCUCCCAGUCGCUGCCGGCUGCAACAGAGCCUGGAACCAGGAUCUCUAGUGGCACAGCUAGCACUGCGAUUUCACAGCUAGCACUGCGAUUUCACAGCUAGCACUGCGAUUUCACCGCUAGCACUGCGAUUUCACCGCUAGCACUGCGAUUUCACCUCUAGCACUGCGAUUUCACAGAUAGCACUGCGAUUUCACCGC
Molecule: long non-coding RNA, 1266 nt
Filed under: Salmo salar (Atlantic salmon)
Lineage: Eukaryota; Metazoa; Chordata; Actinopteri; Salmoniformes; Salmonidae
Description: lncRNA (ENSSSAG00000085314.1)
Source: RNAcentral